Lolium perenne is the source of this 1504-nucleotide long non-coding RNA. RefSeq lists it as uncharacterized. The record is from RefSeq and is a predicted model, not a curated record. Lineage: Eukaryota; Viridiplantae; Streptophyta; Magnoliopsida; Poales; Poaceae.
UGCACGCGAGCGCCAAAAAAAACCGCCGAACUUUGGUACUCCACAUCCCGAACACUGUUUUCUUUUCCGUCCCUCUCUUCCUGCCGGCGGCGGCUAUCGGAAGUAGCAAGACGAGCCUGCAGCCGGCGGCGGGGAACGACGAGCGGGGGUCAGUGCGGCCUCCCCCAUGCCCACCGGCAAAGCUACGCCUCACCCACCUCACCGCAUUUGCCGUCGUCGCCCUCUACCUCCCCGGCUUCAUCGCCUUCGCAAGGGUGAUUUUGUCCUGCUAGGGUGCCGCGGUGAUGAGGUGGUGGUAAAUGGGAGCCAUGGCAGAGGCGGAGCACGGGGGCUGCAUGGAGAACCAGGAGGCAUCGAGCUCCUCGGCCUCGGAAGGGAGCAGCCAAUAGAUGUCCCGAUUCUGGAUUGUAGUAUCUACAUUUUUUGUUUCUUGGCGUAUAUUUUCGGCCUUGGAUCUUAUGCUGACCAGUUCUAGGAAUUUGGUUCUAGGAUUCAGAUGUGGAAACUCAGAGAUGGCCGCACAAAAGCAGAUAACGUCCAGGCUCCUCCUCAGCUGCAGCCAAAGAGCUCUCCAGCUAUGGAGCAAAUUGAAUAAUGGGGAAAGGUGAUUUUCAACAGCAAUCCAGUAAAGGAGCAAUAGAAGCAAUCUCUCAUGUCGCUGGCAAGAUAACUGUUUCAUCACCAGAUUUGGGGUGGAUCUAGGCAAAGCUGUAAGGCCACUGUCCAAGGAGUAUCUGGUGAAAAAGAUUGAUAGAAUUGACUUAAUGGCAAUGGUGGGAGUGUUUGGAUCAGUUUUCAGUGGCAUACAGAUAAGUAUUCUUGAGUGAGAAGAACUUCAUUCUAUUAAAUGGAAUGUUGAUCCGGCCUUGGCAUUGACCGGCUAGCAAUGUUGUUGACGAACUCUGCUAGCAUAAGGGGUGUUAUUGCUUUUCCAGUUCUGAAUCUUCACCAAUAGGACCUUUUCUCGGGAUAAGAAGAGAUGCAAUUUUGACAAUGUUGAUUUGUACUAAUUAAUAGGAGGCAAAAUCUUCAGUUAUUGGCAGAGCUAGACUUGAGUGACACACCUGGAGCCUGGAGAUGCCACCAUCGGUGAUUCUUUCCAUUGACAAGUGAGGACAGGAUCUUUUGUCUUACCAGGUGCCAUGCUAUGGAAAACAGUGGGAUUUGCCCGGCUAAGAUUUACAUAAACAAACAAAAAAAAAUUCUAGGCAGUGCCACGGAAAGCAUUGAGCUCAUCAUCAGGAUGACACGAAAAGAAGUCGGCGUAGCUUCAUCUGAACACUGGAUUUUCCUAUGACGAGGUUUCUACCUGAUUGUGAGUUAAGGACUGUUUUUGUUCAAGCAUCGUUUUGUAUGUAAAGUGAACCGUGUAACGAUCGUUACAUGUAUCAGCCACUUUUUGUAUUUUCAUCAAGAAAAAUCAAAUGUACACGUUGUUUUCUGGUAGUCAUUGCCAUAAACAAGUUUUUUAAGUUACAUAUUAUGGAAAUCAAUCAGAAACCAA